Molecule: ribosomal RNA, 400 nt
Filed under: uncultured bacterium
Lineage: Bacteria
Description: bacterial SSU rRNA
Rfam family: Bacterial small subunit ribosomal RNA
Source: RNAcentral
GGGGAAUAUUGCACAAUGGGGGAAACCCUGAUGCAGCGACGCCGCGUGAGCGAUGAAGUAUUUCGGUAUGUAAAGCUCUAUCAGCAGGGAAGAAAAUGACGGUACCUGACUAAGAAGCCCCGGCUAACUACGUGCCAGCAGCCGCGGUAAUACGUAGGGGGCAAGCGUUAUCCGGAUUUACUGGGUGUAAAGGGAGCGUAGACGGCAUGGCAAGCCAGAUGUGAAAGCCCGGGGCUCAACCCCGGGACUGCAUUUGGAACUGUCAGGCUAGAGUGUCGGAGAGGAAAGCGGAAUUCCUAGUGUAGCGGUGAAAUGCGUAGAUAUUAAGAGGAACACCAGUGGCGAAGGCGGCUUUCUGGACGAUGACUGACGUUGAGGCUCGAAAGCGUGGGGAGCAAAC